Molecule: ribosomal RNA, 433 nt
Filed under: uncultured Coriobacteriaceae bacterium
Lineage: Bacteria; Bacillati; Actinomycetota; Coriobacteriia; Coriobacteriales; Coriobacteriaceae
Also listed under: 1 other name
Description: bacterial SSU rRNA
Rfam family: Bacterial small subunit ribosomal RNA
Source: RNAcentral
ACGGGAGGCAGCAGUGGGGAAUUUUGCGCAAUGGGGGAAACCCUGACGCAGCAACGCCGCGUGCGGGAUGACGGCCUUCGGGUUGUAAACCGCUUUCAGUAGGGAUGAUUAUGACAGUACCUACAGAAGAAGCUCCGGCUAACUACGUGCCAGCAGCCGCGGUAAUACGUAGGGAGCAAGCGUUAUCCGGAUUCAUUGGGCGUAAAGCGCGCGUAGGCGGAUGUCUAAGCGGAACCUCUAAUCUUAGGGCUCAACCUUAAGCCGGGUUCCGAACUGGGCGUCUCGAGUAUGGUAGGGGUAGACGGAAUUCCCGGUGUAGCGGUGAAAUGCGCAGAUAUCGGGAAGAACACCGAUGGCGAAGGCAGUCUACUGGGCCAUUACUGACGCUGAGGUGCGAAAGCGUGGGGAGCGAACAGGAUUAGAUACCCUGGUA